Cyprinus carpio (common carp) is the source of this 408-nucleotide long non-coding RNA. RefSeq lists it as uncharacterized. The transcript is spliced from 4 exons. The record is from RefSeq and is a predicted model, not a curated record. Lineage: Eukaryota; Metazoa; Chordata; Actinopteri; Cypriniformes; Cyprinidae.
GAACGAUUUCAAAUACAAAGAAAGUAACGGCUCUUUUCCUGAAAGAAACAACCGCUGCGCAAGAACAUCCAGUAUGCAUGAGUUCUCUUAAAAUCUCAAAGGGUUCACAGAGCAGCACUAUUGCACUGAAGAUGUUCAAGAGGCGAGUAAACAUUUGCUCCUCAAGCUCAUCCAUCUGUGCACAACAGCAACUCUGCUGCCUGGAUGCGUACUCACAGUUCUAGCUUCCACACGGCAGAUGGCCCUCCCAUGCAUCUGAAAGAGAAAGGAACAAGAGGUACAACAUUUGCUUCCGAAUGGGUGUGUGUUAUUGAAAGGGAGAUCCAGCCUACCUGACAGUGAGUUUGACAAUCCUGGAUACUGAUGCUGAGCUGCUACUGAAAGGAUGCUGAAUGUGGGUGUGUGUUC